GACGAACGCUGGCGGCGUGCUUAACACAUGCAAGUCGAACGAAGAGCGAUGGAAGCUUGCUUCUAUCAAUCUUAGUGGCGAACGGGUGAGUAACGCGUAAUCAACCCGCCCUUCAGAGGGGGACAACAGUUGGAAACGACUGCUAAUACCGCAUACGAUCUAAUCUCGGCAUCGAGGAUAGAUGAAAGGUGGCCUCUACAUGUAAGCUAUCACUGAAGGAGGGGAUUGCGUCUGAUUAGCUAGUUGGAGGGGUAACGGCCCACCAAGGCGAGGAUCAGUAGCCGGUCUGAGAGGAUGAACGGCCACAUUGGGACUGAGACACGGCCCAGACUCCUACGGGAGGCAGCAGUGGGGAAUCUUCCGCAAUGGACGAAAGUCUGACGGAGCAACGCCGCGUGAGUGAUGACGGCCUUCGGGUUGUAAAGCUCUGUUAAUCGGGACGAAAGGCCUUCUUGCGAAUAGGGAGAAGGAUUGACGGUACCGGAAUAGAAAGCCACGGCUAACUACGUG
RNAcentral lists this ribosomal RNA (510 nucleotides) under uncultured bacterium. RNAcentral describes it as "partial 16S ribosomal RNA". It matches the Rfam family "Bacterial small subunit ribosomal RNA", at positions 28 to 507 of the family's 1533-position model. The record is from RNAcentral.